GUCAAGUCAUCAUGGCCCUUAUGUCCAGGGCUACACACGUGCUACAAUGGGCGGUACAAAGCGGAGCGAAGCCGCGAGGCACAAGCAAAUCGCUGAAAGCCGCCCGUAGUUCGGAUAGGAGUCUGCAACCCGACUCCUUGAAGCCGGAAUCGCUAGUAAUCGCGGAUCAGCAUGCCGCGGUGAAUACGUUCCCGGGCCUU
Molecule: ribosomal RNA, 200 nt
Filed under: uncultured prokaryote
Description: partial 16S ribosomal RNA
Rfam family: Bacterial small subunit ribosomal RNA
Source: RNAcentral